UAUGUUGAACAGAAGGUUUAAAAGUGGGCAUCCUUGUCUCGUUCCUAUUCUCAGUGGGAAUGCUUUCAACUUUUCCCCAUUCAGUAUCAUGUUGGCUAUGGAUUUGUUGUAGAUGCCUUUUAUUAUGGUUGAUGUAUGUUCCUUC
Long non-coding RNA from Sapajus apella (tufted capuchin), 145 nucleotides. RefSeq lists it as uncharacterized. The record is from RefSeq and is a predicted model, not a curated record. Lineage: Eukaryota; Metazoa; Chordata; Mammalia; Primates; Cebidae. The transcript has 3 exons.